Molecule: non-coding RNA, 77 nt
Organism: Loxodonta africana (African savanna elephant)
Lineage: Eukaryota; Metazoa; Chordata; Mammalia; Proboscidea; Elephantidae
Source: the annotation of a RefSeq genome assembly
GUCAGGAUGGCCGAGUGGUCUAAGGCGCCAGACUCAAGCUCCAGAUGGAGCCGUGGGUUCAAAUCCUACUUCUGACA